GGGGGAAUGGCGCAAUGGUUACGUGCCACGGCUGUUACCAAUGUAACGUAGGUUCGAAUCCUGCUCCCUCUA
RNAcentral lists this transfer RNA (72 nucleotides) under Pyricularia grisea. RNAcentral's name for it is "tRNA-Asn". It matches the Rfam family "tRNA". From Rfam's summary of the family: Transfer RNA (tRNA) molecules are approximately 80 nucleotides in length. Lineage: Eukaryota; Fungi; Ascomycota; Sordariomycetes; Magnaporthales; Pyriculariaceae. The record is from RNAcentral.